GGGUAGUUUAACUGGGGCGGUUGCCUCCUAAAAAGUAACGGAGGCGCUCAAAGGUUCCCUCAAUCUGGUUGGCAAUCAGAUUUCGAGUGUAAGUGCACAAGGGAGCUUGACUGUGAGACUGACAAGUCGAGCAGGGACGAAAGUCGGAACUAGUGAUCCGGCCGUGGAUUGUGGAAUCGCGGUCGCUCAACGGAUAAAAGGUACCCCGGGGAUAACAGGCUUAUCCUGCCCAAGAGUUCAUAUCGACGGCAUGGUUUGGCACCUCGAUGUCGGCUCGUCUCAUCCUGGGGCUGGAGCAGGUCCCAAGGGUUUGGCUGUUCGCCAAUUAAAGCGGUACGCGAGCUGGGUUCAGAACGUCGUGAGACAGUUCGGUCCCUAUCUUCCGCGGGCGCAGGAGCGUUGAGGAGAGCUGACUCUAGUACGAGAGGACCGAGUCGGACGCGCCUCUGGCGAACCGGUUGUCCUGCCAAGGGCAUCGCCGGGUAACUAAGCGCGGAUGUGAUAACCGCUGAAAGCAUAUAAGCGGGAAGCCGACUCCAAGAUGAACGCUCCCUGAAGGCGCCAGAUAGACUAUCUGUUUGAUAGGUCGGAGGCGUAAGCGCAGCAAUGCGUUCAGCUGACCGAUACUAAUACGCCGUUUGGCUUUUUUUA
Molecule: ribosomal RNA, 651 nt
Filed under: Helicobacteraceae bacterium
Lineage: Bacteria; Pseudomonadati; Campylobacterota; Epsilonproteobacteria; Campylobacterales; Helicobacteraceae
Description: partial 23S ribosomal RNA
Rfam family: Bacterial large subunit ribosomal RNA
Source: RNAcentral